RNAcentral lists this unclassified non-coding RNA (349 nucleotides) under soil metagenome. RNAcentral's name for it is "partial contains 5.8S ribosomal RNA, internal transcribed spacer 2, and large subunit ribosomal RNA". The stretch from base 1 to 120 matches the Rfam family "5.8S ribosomal RNA", at positions 35 to 154 of the family's 154-position model. The record is from RNAcentral.
GAUGAAGAACGUAGCGAAAUGCGAUAAGUAAUGUGAAUUGCAGAAUUCAGUGAAUCAUCGAGUCUUUGAACGCACAUUGCGCCCCCUGGCAUUCCGGGGGGCAUGCCUGUCCGAGCGUCAUUGCUGCCCUUCAAGCCCGGCUUGUGUGUUGGGUCGUCGUCCCCCCCGGGGGACGGGCCCGAAAGGCAGCGGCGGCACCGCGUCCGGUCCUCGAGCGUAUGGGGCUUUGUCACCCGCUCGAUUAGGGCCGGCCGGGCGCCAGCCGGCGUCUCCAACCUUCUAUUUUACCAGGUUGACCUCGGAUCAGGUAGGGAUACCCGCUGAACUUAAGCAUAUCAAUAGCGGAGGA